Molecule: long non-coding RNA, 1670 nt
Organism: Canis lupus familiaris (dog)
Lineage: Eukaryota; Metazoa; Chordata; Mammalia; Carnivora; Canidae
Exons: 4
Source: RefSeq, a predicted model, not a curated record
GGGAAGGAGAGUGAGGCCCGAGAACCCGCCGACCCCCCUCGCGCCCUCCUCCGCGUGCCUUUGGGUUUCCAUGGUGACCCACGGCCCUUCACAAAGCCCCGGCGCUGAGACGCGCUGAUGCACGAGUCCCCUGGGAGGGCUCUGGGGCGGGUCCCGAAGACACAGCACCUCCCCUCCCCCUGCACGACCCCACCCGAGGGGCUGAAACAAUGCCCCGGCCGCCUCACCCGGUGGCUGCCGGGCCUGCCCUUUGCCGCCGGCUUCCCUCCCGGACCCAGUACGACGCCUUCGAAGCGGGCGCUCGGCGAGGUCGCACGCUGGAGCGGGCGGGGUGGACGUUAGAGAAAAAUAUCCUCACGGCUUGAAUUCACAACCCCGAGAUCAAGAGUCACGUGCUCCACCCACUGAGCCAGCCAGGAUCUGGGUCCCUCUGAAGCUGGCUGCUCCUGUUCCUUGCUGCUUUUCCUGAGGGGACGUUCCAGCCCAGAAAAUCUGAUAACUUCAAAAUGAUUCCGCAGUCAUGUGACCAAUUUGCAUUAUGAAGUGAACCUUGGAGACUCAGUUCUCUGGAAUGACGCUGAUUUUCUCAUGUAUUACCUCUGUUACAGAGGAAAGCCAUGCAGUCUUCUCCUUCUUAAAUAAACCAAUUACACAAGCAACAUGCACACUGCUCAGAGAUGGCCAGUCCGGGCACCUCCUUGGGUUCCACGGGUCUGUUCCUGGCUCUGGACAGUGUCCCUGGCGUCAUCCCUGCAAGUCAGGUAUCACAUUUACUAUCAAGGCAAUUUCAAAAGUAAGAAAACUUCUCUUAAUCAAAAUGAGUCAUCUGGUCCUUGUAAAACAGAGGCUGAACUCUGCCAGGUUCGUGUUGUCUGGUCGUUAGUAAAUAGAUAAAUAUUUUUAUUUAACAUUGUACAAAAGGACAGGAACCAUAGACUCCUAAGCAUUCAAGCUAAAACCAAGUCAAACCUUUCCUAGAUAACAAAGGGAAGGUGAGACAGCAGGGACCACGGAUGGAAAUUCCUCCACAUAAAUGCCCAUCCCAGUGAUGGGCAGCUGGGUGCUUCUUCCCCCAGGGGUGCUCUCUCUCUGGCGAGCAGGAAAGGCUUACAGAGAUGGGGCCAGGGCUCAGCCAAGCCCUUCCUGAAUGCCUCGGAUCCUCCUGGCCAGCUGUACAUCCUUCGGGAAGAGAGUAACACGGCCAGCAUGUAAGGAGAGAAGAUAGGCGUCCUCAAAGAGAUGAACUAGAAAUGCUUCUGCAGCCUGGGGGCAGAUAGAAGAGUCCAAGGAUUGACACCCGAGGGGGCAUGAGCUACUUUCUUCUCUCAGAGCCCGCGGUGCUUAGUCCCUGAGGGUUUCUGGGACUGUCUGCAAGACUGCCCACAGAGUGAAGGGGAGCCUGGGAAUUCUGCUACCACCCAACAGGGAUCUGGCCUCCACACCCUGGGUGUUCCUUGAUGCUCUAAGGAGGCAAGAAUCCCGUGUGGCAUGCCUGUCAGCCCUGUGCAAUUCCGGAAUGCCUUUCCCCCGUUCUCACCCAACUGUACCUGGGCCCCCUUCUUACCUCUUGCAGGGCCAACAGGGCCUGGGCUUGCCAAGAGAAGUCCACACCGCGUGUGAAUUUAACACAUAUCUCUCUCACCUGUGAAGGAGUGGGGAUGGGGAGCCAA